ACCAAACCAAACCAAACCGCAUGAGUUUUUAUCUCACGGUUUGGAUGACUAUUAUGCUCAAAACCGAACCAAACCGCACCGCGAACACCCCUAGUACUCGUCAGUUAACAUUUUUCAUCAGAUGUAUGAGACUGUGCUUUAAUAUAAUUCAUUUCGGACAAAAUUCAUGUUGUAAUUUAAUAUAUCCAGUAUCUUAUGUUUAACACCCGACUAAAUAUUUUAGACAGUUUAGUAUGGACGCUACAGUCUAUUGUGGUAUAUAAAAUGAAAUGCUUAUACUAAUUUGAUUUACUAGUUUUUCUGAUCCGUAUGCAUCAAAAGAUCCUAAUGAUUAGGGAACUAAGAUUGAACAUAGACAACCAAGUUGUUUGGGCUCCAGUGGCAAGGAGCUCCUUCCAUGGACGUACUCAGGGAAUAUCGGGUUCGAUUCUCAAGGGGAACAACACUUGGUCAGUGUGCAUGCCUCUACGCACGAGCCGGAUUAGUCGCCCAUCUUUGGUGAGUCGGAAACCGGUUCGAAAGCCAAAAGAUUGAACAUAGACUAUGGCAUGGAACUAAGAGCAAAAGUUCGACAUAUUAAAUAUAGAUUAGUUUUAUUCAAAGAAGUACACUCUGUCACUAUUAUAAGCAAAAAUCAAUAUUUUAACCUCAUUCAUUCAUUAAAUGAUGUAUGUAGUCUAGAAUAAAGACUACACACAUUAUUUAACGAAUGAACUUAAAAUAUUGAAUUUUGCUUUUAAUUAAUUAUUUUUUCUUAUAACUCCAAGUCUCAAGAAGUUAGUUCUCUAAUAACUUAAAGUUCACUUUAAGGUAAGUAAAGUCUUAUAAAAGAUUGUUUCAACUAAAACAUGAACUCAAUGCAUUUCAAGAGUGUUUAUAAUCCAAUUAAUAAAUUAAUUAACAUAGAUACCGUAAAGUAUUAUAUUGUUAAAAAAAAAAAAGUUGUUCUCUCAAAAAAAAAAACUGGUAGUAAUAAAAGAAAACAAAUUAGUACAAACUACAAAGUCAAAUAAACAUAAUGUAAUAAUUUUUUUGUUGAAGGAAACAUAAUCUAAUAGUUAUUAUAUCAUGAAUUUUAGUUUUUCUACGUGUGAGAUCAACGUCUUUUUUUUGUAAGGAUAGUUAUGUCUUUAGGGUGCUAAUGUUAAAUCACACAUUAAAAUUAAUAUUUUCAUGUAGUUAAAGUUUAGGGUUAAUUAAGUUUUUGGUUCCUAUAAAUAUAUGCAAUUUUGUUUUUAGUCCCUAUAAAAAUAAAUCAUACUUUCUAGUCCCUACAAAAUUUUCCGUUAGUAUUUUUAGUCCCUGUUAAAUUAAAAUUUGUUUAAUUAUGCUUAAAACUUUAAAUUUUUAAUGAUUUUUUACAUACUUGUUUAAAACAUUAUAAAAGGUUCCGCCACAAUAAAUUAGCUCAAAAUUUUAUUUUUAGGUCCAAAUUUUCGUUAGUUUUAUCUUGAAUUUUGGGCGUUUUAAAAAAACUAUAUUUAAUUCAUUAAAUGUUAAAAAAUUCUAAUUUUUUAUAAAAGAGAUUAUUAUAAUGUUCUUAACAUGUGUGUUAAAAAUCAUUUAAAAAUAUAAAAGUUUAAGUAUAAUUAAACAAAUUUCAAUUUAAUAGGGACCAACGAAUACUUUUAGUCCUUGUAAAAUUAAAAUUUGCUUAAUUGUGCUUAAACUUUUAAAUUUUAUGCAAAGUUCCUCCGCAAAGAAGUAACUUAACAUUUUAUUAUUAGGUCCAAAUUUUCAUUAAUAUAAUCUUGAAAUUUUGGCUUUUAGAAAAAUUCAUAUUUAAUUCAAUACGUGUGAAAAAACUAAAUUUUUUUAUAAAGAGUGUCUUACGAUGUUAUGAACAUGUCUGUAAAAAAUCAUUCAAAAAUGGAGAAUUUAAGCAUAAUUAAACAAAUUUUAAUUUAACAGGGACUAAAAACAAUAACAUAAAAUUUUGUAGGGACUAAAAAGUGUGAUUUAUUUUUAUAGGGACUAAAAACAAAACUGUAGAUAUUUAUAGGGACCAAAAACUUAAUUAACCCUAAAGUUUAUUAUCGCAUCCUUUUUUUACCCAAAAAAAAUUCAUUAUUCUCAUAUAGCGAUCAAGUUUAUUAUCACAUCCCUUUUUGUACCCAAAAAAAAAAAAAUCAUUAUUCUCACAUAAUGAUCUAAAUUGAUUACUCAUUAAAACACAUAUUACAAAAAUUUUAUAAUCGAUGAACGGAAAAUUAUUAUUAAUUAUAGUAAAAUUAUUGAUCAUUUUACAAUCAAGUCAAAUGUUAUUUGAAUUUUUCCCCAAUAGUCUCCUAUGGGAUAUGAACUUCGCUCCUUGAGGUUACAAAUUACAUCCUUAUCAAAACCUCAAGGACAAAUUCAUUACAUUUUUAUUUAUUUAUAUUUAGCAGUAUCAUGCAUCCUAAUAAGUUAUCUAAGCUAUUUUGAAAAGAGGGGAUUUAAGAGAAGGAUUUGAAAAUGGACCCUCAACUAGCCCUUUUGCUAUUAGCUUAUAAGCUGCUUCAGUAAAGUGUGGUCCGUCCCAAUUUAUACGUUUUGAAGGAUCAGAGCAAACUGUAGCGAUAAGUGAUCCACAUCCUCCACAACAUGCUUUGAAAAUAGCAUCCUUAUCAAAACCUGCAUAAUUAAUUUGAUUGAUCCAGCUAGCAUGCAUAAAUGAAAUAAAGAGGAAUAAUUUGUGGUAGCAAUAGCAAUCAAAUACGUAUAUUGUUAUUUCCAAAAUAUAUAAUUAUAUAUAAAUAAUGCUCACCAUAUUGUUGCGGUGUUUGAUAUAAACAUUUGGCAUCAUUAUAGUAGUCAAAGUAUAUUAUCUUAACUUCAGGGUGCUUCUGUCUUAGUGUCUCUAUAGAAUUUUUUAGUUGCCCGUUAAAGUACUCUAUUAAAUUAUUGUAAGCUAUUAAGCACCCAAAUUCAUCAUAGUCUUCUUUCUUAUUACUAUUCACCAAUGUGAACAUUGCAGCACUGCAUCCCAUCGGAAAAUUCCCAGGUACCACUAGCUCUACAGCUCCUUCUUCGAUUAGCACCUAGCACAUAGAAACAAAAUCAAUGUCACAUUUUUUCACGCGGAUCGAUGAUCCAAUCGAUGAUAUUUCUCUUCGAAUUAUAAUUUAGUGAAGUAGUCAUUCCAAAACUUAAUUGCAAUCAAACAUACAUUUGUGGUGUUAGUAAUGGCUUUAACCAUAAAGGGAACUAUUUCUCGAAGUUCUAUAACAGUUUUAUGCUUCAUAUGCUUCAUAAUAUCGUUCCCACCAAUUUCUCCAACUAUAAACAAUGAUUUCUUGAAGUAGAUAUUGCAAUCUAUCAUAUAAUGAAACAAAGUUUGUUAGCCAUAUUGAAAAAAUUUAAUGUAUUUCAUAGAAAAAAAAUAUUCCACUACUUAUGGUAAAACCUUCUUUGCUUUUACAGAGGAGGGGUUUGAUAUUCUUGAACCAUCCAAGUUGAAUGCUCAAUGAGUUAUUUGUAUCUGGAAGAGGAAGCCCGUUUUUGACAUAAUACUCAACAUUGAGCACAGUGGCACCAGCAAAUGCAAAAUUUACUCCUUUUUUGAUAUCUUGGUCUAUGCUUUUAUUCUCAUAGGCAGGCAAAAACGGCAACCCAUAUGCCUCGGCUACAAUUGAAAUGAUCACAUGUUAAAGAACUUUGAUCAAAAUUUAAUCGCAGAUUACUCUUAUUGAUUUCCACAACAGAAAAUAGAUUUUUUAUUUAUUUUUAAUAAAACCUCAUUUCAUAAUUAUUUUUUAUCUAAAUAUCAUCAAGUUAAGACAUUAAAACAUAUUUCACGUCUGUGUAUCUAGGUAUCUGUGUGUGAGAGAGAGAGAUAAUAUAUCGAAAUACAUUUUGUAGAUUGCAUGUAAAGAUUUUUUAUUGUUUCUUAUUCUUAUCAUUGGAGAAAAACUAAUUUAUAAUACUAGAAAAAAACAUAAUCAUACCAAUAAAAUCUAUGAUCAGUCGUCCAUUUGACAUACGUCCUGAAGGAUGUUUAAAGUAACUAGAACCAUAAGGAAUAGGGUUAGGCAUAGGUAGAAAGAUAGAUGCAGCAUUUCCAGUGUCACUUAUAGAAUCACCAAAGUUAAAGAAAGCUUCAUAUGAGAGAGGAUUUGCAUUUGAAACUACAUUUUGUAGAAAACCACAUGUGAAGGUGAUGAGGAAGAGAGUGGAUACAUUCAUGGUUUAAUUGUAUGGAAGGAAAUUAUCAAUAUUAAUUAAGAUGAAUAUGAUGAUGGGUGAUUGGCAAUGAGAUUGAUCAACCUUAUAUAUUGCCACGCAACCGAGUAAUCUUGUCAUAAAACUAUCAUUCUAACCAGGAAGUAGUUAAUUGUUUUGAUUCAAUUAAAGCUGUUAUAUUUUGUAUUAAUUAAUGUUUUUGAACACGUAAGCAUCCUUUAAAUAUGAGUUCAUUACCUCAACAAUUUUUCAUAGUUCAUACCCUUGUUUGGGCUGUUACAAAUGGCUAGUUAGUUUGCAACAAUUCCCUACAACAAGAUUCGUAAACUUAAUUAAACCAAAUGUGCUACAAUAAUUUCCUUUAAUAGAUGUGUUAAUGAUUCAAUGUAGUUUUAGAUUUGUCAUAAAUAUUUUUAAAGAAUAGCCGAUGUAUCAUAUAUUUGCAACACUCAUCAUUCUCAAACAUCCACUCAACACCUUUUUUUUUUUUACCUUACUUUCAAUAUAUUUACCACAUCACUCUUUCUAUUUUUGACUCAUGGUGUUGAAUGAGUGUAUGGGCAUGCACAAAUAACUUUACAAUAGACAAUUAUCUUAUAUUUUAAAUUAGUAAUAUAAGGACCCAUAAUAUGGUUCAAAGGUGAACCACCACCAUUUUUAGUAAAACAAAAGAUUUUGUCCAAUUUUUUUUGUCAAUAUCCACUAUUUUACAAAAUUUUGUAGGAGAGAUUUUAAUUUUGUUUGGUUACAAGGGAAAAUAACAUAAAUAGGAAAAAGAAAACAGAGGCAAGGAACAAAGAAAAAAACUUGAACAGAGAAACAAAAACUAGCCCUUAGAAAAAAAGGUUCCCCAAGCAUUAUUCCCUAGCAGGUCAUUCAUCCCAACAGGAGCAGACAAGUGGUUAGACAACUCAAGAUCAGACGAGACUCCCAUUUUAACCAAAAAACCGGCGCAUUGAUUACCCCUGCAGUGUGUGAACGAUGGUAAUAUUACCGAGACAUAUCAUGUCCUUUAUGUCUUGGAAAGAUCUUAAUUAAAAUAAAACAAAACAAAACUCUCAAAUUUAAAAGCAUAUUAGUAAAAUAAAAUAAAAUUAUUCUCUAUGAAAAAAAUAAAUAUUCUCAAGUGUUAUUGCAUGUAAUAUUUUUCAAUUAAUUUUUCUAGAACUAUUGAAUAUACUAGUUUUAUUCUCAGAGCUAACACUUUCACACUUUAGAGUAUUCUUAUAUUUGUAUGUGUCAAAAUAACUUAGAUAAUUUACGAACUUAUCAACAAAAAAACCCAUGCACGGGAAAAAUUAUUUUUGAAAUAAAUUAAAAGUAAACUACUUUAUACUUCAUAUCAAUUUUAUUUUUAAUUUAACGUGGGGUUUAGGAGUUUAUUUUAAAAACAAAAAAAUAAGAUAGAAAUAGAAGCAAAGGAAAAAUAGGGUUGUAAAUUGCAUAAAAUAUAGGAGUUACACAGAAGGUUUAGUAGAGCAAUGUGCAAUACAUGAAAAAUAGAUAGCAAAACAAUUUAUCUACAAUCAAGUCGAAUUCUAUCACACUAAACAACGCAUAAUUGCUUGAACAAUUAUCUCAAUGAUCUUUCAUCAACCAACUGAUCGUACUUAAAAUCUUGUGUUUGACUACAACGCAUACAUCUACUUGGAAUGAUAAAAACAAUGAUAGAAACAUAUUGUUAAGAACAAACAAAAUUUGACUAAAGCAUGUAAAAAAUAGAGUAAUAACGAAGCAAACUAAAACAAUUUGAAGCACAUAGGUUUUUAGAUUGACAGGACAAACUACAAAAUUCGAAACCAAGAGGAACAAACCAAUUCUGGCCACACAAAAAAAAUGGAGGGAAAAAAUAACAAAUCAAAGGAAAUAUUGUCAAAAAAGGAAGAAGAAAAAACUUUAGGGGGUACUUAUGCCUAAUUUUAAAACUUAUUCUCAUGAAUGUGGAGAUUCCUAUGUUUAGUAUAAAGUUAAAAAAUUACCCCUAGGAAUAAAAAAUUCCUAGGAAAAUAAUAACACUUAUCCAUAAUUUUAUUCCUAAGGAAGUGGGUGGGAAUAAAAGGUUCCCAUGUAAAUAGUAAUAAAAUUGAAACAACUACUCAUAUACCCACUAUCACAAAUAAUUACCAUGAACCUGACAAUUAUUAAUGAAAUAUGAUUUUAAAAAAAUACCGAGGAAUAAGAUGCCCAUUAUUAUUCCCCAGGAAAGAUUAUUACCAUAAGCGAAAUUUUCAAUCGUCAAACAAACUCCCCAUUAGUCUACUCAAACUCCAUUGCCAAGAUAACACUUUAACCUCUUCCACCAUAUCAUCAAUCUCCUUUGUAAUAUUACUCAAACAAGAAUUUUACAUUUUGUACUCGCCAGUUAGUGCAUUAUUACUCAAACAAGGAUUUUACAUUUUGUACACGCCAGUUAGUGCAUAUACAUAUACGGCUUAUGGUUUGUACUCGUUAGGGGUGUUCAAAAUCAAACCAACGCAAUAGAAAAACUGCAAACAAAACCUAUCCAAACCGAAAUCGCAAAAAACCGCACUUGGUUCGGAUGAAUUCGGAUGACUUUUGCACUGAACCGCAUGGCUCGGUUUGGUUUGUGGUUUUCAUCUCAACAACCGAACCAAACCAAACCAAACCACAAGAAUAAUGAAUAUUACUUAAACAUCUACUAGCCCAAUUACAUAGCUCAAGAAUAAUUUCUUUUGAUUCGAUUUGUCCAUUGUUGCAACAUCAGGUUCCAUUCUAAUUUAUUUCCAUCUCUUUCAAUUCAUUUCAAGUGAUGAAUUUGUUUACUUUAAAAGAUUGCUUCAACUAAAACAUGAACUCAAUGCAUUUCAAGAGCG
This 6995-nucleotide long non-coding RNA is filed under the name Medicago truncatula (barrel medic). Its description in RNAcentral is "long non-coding RNA (MTRU_LNC007502)". Lineage: Eukaryota; Viridiplantae; Streptophyta; Magnoliopsida; Fabales; Fabaceae. The record is from RNAcentral.